Molecule: ribosomal RNA, 423 nt
Filed under: uncultured bacterium
Lineage: Bacteria
Description: bacterial SSU rRNA
Rfam family: Bacterial small subunit ribosomal RNA
Source: RNAcentral
AAGACCUUGCGCUUUUGGAGCGGCCGAUGUCUGAUUAGCUAGUUGGUGGGGUAAUGGCCUACCAAAGCUUCGAUCAGUAGCUGGUCUGAGAGGACGGCCAGCCACACUGGGACUGAGACACGGCCCAGACUCCUACGGGAGGCAGCAGUGGGGAAUUUUGGACAAUGGGCGCAAGCCUGAUCCAGCCAUGCCGCGUGAGUGAAGAAGGCCUUCGGGUUGUAAAGCUCUUUCAGCCGGGAAGAAAAGGUUGCGACUAAUAAUCGCAAUCCAUGACGGUACCGAAAGAAGAAGCACCGGCUAACUACGUGCCAGCAGCCGCGGUAAUACGUAGGGUGCGAGCGUUAAUCGGAAUUACUGGGCGUAAAGGGUGCGCAGGCGGUUUUGUAAGUCAGAUGUGAAAUCCCCGGGCUUAACCUGGGAACU